This 321-nucleotide long non-coding RNA is filed under the name Panax ginseng (ginseng). RNAcentral describes it as "long non-coding RNA (PGIN_LNC012377)". The record is from RNAcentral. Lineage: Eukaryota; Viridiplantae; Streptophyta; Magnoliopsida; Apiales; Araliaceae.
AAUGAAGAACCAAGAUCAGAGCAUUCAAAAUGGAGAAAAUGUAGUGUUUGAUAUUAUUGGGUUUGCUUUUGGGCAGUAGCAGCAGAAGCAGAAGCAGCAGGAUGCUAAUAAUGUGGGUGGGGGUUGUCUGAUGUUUGCUUGGUGGGAUAUGAAUGAAUGGGUAUAACUUUUAAGUGCCCAAAUGGCCACCUCAAUGUUAUGUCUUCAACUCAUUGAAGUUUGUUAAAUACAUAAACUCUUGUUUUUUCCCCCCAAUAUUUGAAAACACCGAGACAAACGAUUCAGUUUGUCAUAUUAAUUUAUUUGGUUAAAAAGUCGGGG